RNAcentral lists this long non-coding RNA (221 nucleotides) under Elaeis guineensis (African oil palm). RNAcentral describes it as "long non-coding RNA (EGUI_LNC028434)". Lineage: Eukaryota; Viridiplantae; Streptophyta; Magnoliopsida; Arecales; Arecaceae. The record is from RNAcentral.
GGUCCAAAUUUGGAGCCCAACUCGAUCCCACGGGUCUUUAAAUCAUGUUCAGAUCAGAUCUAAGCGGAUUGGUUCAGGUCAGGUUAUGGAUCAACCCAACCUAUUUGUAGCCUUAAUUAUUAGUGACUAUCAAUUUGUCGCAAACAUAGCUUUUUUGUGCAUCUUUGCUUUCUCACUCUAUAAGUCUAUUUACACCCAUCUUAAUAAUCAAGAUAGCAACC